GACAGAGGGUGCAAACGUUGCUCGGAAUCACUGGGCGUAAAGGGUGCGUAGGCGGGUCUUUAAGUCAGGGGUGAAAUCCUGGAGCUCAACUCCAGAACUGCCUUUGAUACUGAGGAUCUUGAGUUCGGGAGAGGUGAGUGGAACUGCGAGUGUAGAGGUGAAAUUCGUAGAUAUUCGCAAGAACACCAGUGGCGAAGGCGGCUCACUGGCCCGAUACUGACGCUGAGGCACGAAAGCGUGGGGAGCAAACAGG
RNAcentral lists this ribosomal RNA (253 nucleotides) under uncultured bacterium. Its description in RNAcentral is "partial 16S ribosomal RNA". It matches the Rfam family "Bacterial small subunit ribosomal RNA", at positions 524 to 776 of the family's 1533-position model. The record is from RNAcentral.